GUCCAUGAGGAUUAUCCAUCUGUUUGAGAUGUAGAUUUCUCCAAGACCCUGUUUCAGGGAGAACCUACUUGGGGUGCUACAUUAUUCUUGAAAUUACUGGAUCUCCUGAGAC
Molecule: non-coding RNA, 112 nt
Organism: Corchorus olitorius
Lineage: Eukaryota; Viridiplantae; Streptophyta; Magnoliopsida; Malvales; Malvaceae
Source: Rfam